CACGCGGGACCCCCAUCUUCUUCUCAAUCAAAGGCAGGUUGGAAAGUCGGGUAAACGAACCUCGCGUGCAAGAAGAAUUGCGCUCCCCUGGUUCUAAUCCGGCGUGUUCUGGACUCCAAACCGAUCGCUUCGACGCAGACUGACGGUGGGAAUAUUCUUCGGAGAUGCUGUCACUUUUCUAGUCUCCAUUGCCUUUUCCAUCUGUUCUGAUCUCCAGACAAUAACAUAAAAAUCGAAUUACUAUACAUUUUACAUAGAAAAACACUUAAAUAACAUGCUUUUAAUUUUGUUACUAAUAACAGGGGCAUAAAUUGGGGAUGCCACGUGGCGACAUAAGCUUGGCAUACGGUGCUUCAUGCACGUGACGGCUAGCGACGGACACGCGCGCGUUUGGCAAGUUCGGGCGCCGGGAUGCGUCGCACACGUGUAAGCGCGAGGGGGCGGGUGGCUCUUGGCGGAGCAGCAGGGGCAGCUGGUGAGACAAAGGACGGGCCCAUCAUGAGGAGAGAGAGAGAGAGAGAGAGAGUGAACGCUGGGCAUGUCAUGUGAUUUGCACCCCCGAACCUACCCUUUGUUUUCGCCUGAUCAUCUCUGCCUAGUCUUCUUAUGAUCCGAAUAUUAGAUGAAAAUAUUAUCGACUUGGUCAUGAACAGAAGGUACGACCAUGGGGACGCCACUUGGAAAUCUCGAGUUCC
This 695-nucleotide long non-coding RNA is filed under the name Musa acuminata (dwarf banana). RNAcentral's name for it is "long non-coding RNA (MACU_LNC004187)". The record is from RNAcentral. Lineage: Eukaryota; Viridiplantae; Streptophyta; Magnoliopsida; Zingiberales; Musaceae.